UUGGGGUAAAAUAGUGAGUAGCUGACUUGGGGAAGUGAUCGACUCUUGGGAUAAGUUUAAAUCUGCUUUUUUUUUAACCCCAUAAACUUUUUACCGUGGGUAAAAAAAAUUCUUGCGGUAAAAAAAAACCAGAUUUAAAUUUAGCCCGAGGGUUGAUGAUGUAUUUUCCCCAAGAAAGUUGCUUACUAUUUUACCCCAA
This 199-nucleotide microRNA precursor is filed under the name Medicago truncatula (barrel medic). RNAcentral describes it as "MIR2670 microRNA precursor family". It matches the Rfam family "MIR2670 microRNA precursor family". The record is from Rfam by way of RNAcentral. Lineage: Eukaryota; Viridiplantae; Streptophyta; Magnoliopsida; Fabales; Fabaceae.